This 465-nucleotide ribosomal RNA is filed under the name uncultured bacterium. Its description in RNAcentral is "partial 16S ribosomal RNA". It matches the Rfam family "Bacterial small subunit ribosomal RNA", at positions 28 to 507 of the family's 1533-position model. The record is from RNAcentral.
GACGAACGCUGGCGGCGUGCUUAACACAUGCAAGUCGAACGGUGAACUCCGCUUGCGGGGGGAUCAGUGGCGAACGGGUGCGUAACACGAGGGCAACCUGCACUCAGCUCUGGGAUAACUCCAAGAACUUGGGGCUAGUACCGGUUAUGACUGCUAACCGCAUGGGCUGGGGGUGGUAGGAUUGAUCGGCUGGGGUUGGUCCCGCGGCCUAUCAGCUUGUUGGUGGGGUAGUGGCCUACCAAGGCGACGACGGGUAGCCGGCCCGAGAGGGGGACCGGCCACACUGGGACUGAGACACGGCCCAGUAUCGUACGGGAGGCAGCAGUGGGGAAUAUUGCGGAAUGGGCGAAAGCCUGACGCAGCGACGCCGCGUGGGGGAUGACCGCUUUCGGGUUGUAAACCUCUUUCAGCAGAGACGAAGCGAAAGUGACGGUACCUGCAGAAGAAGCACCGGCCAACUACGUG